RNAcentral lists this ribosomal RNA (375 nucleotides) under uncultured Thermovirga sp. RNAcentral's name for it is "bacterial SSU rRNA". It matches the Rfam family "Bacterial small subunit ribosomal RNA", at positions 1008 to 1382 of the family's 1533-position model. Lineage: Bacteria; Thermotogati; Synergistota; Synergistia; Synergistales; Thermovirgaceae. The record is from RNAcentral.
GGACUUACUCUUCGGAGUGAGAGCGUACACAGGUGCUGCAUGGCUGUCGUCAGCUCGUGUCGUGAGAUGUGGGUAAGUCCCGCAACGAGCGCAACCCUGCAUUCAGUUGCCAUCGGUAAGGCCGGGCACUCUGGAUGGACUGCCGGCGACAAGCCGGAGGAAGGUGGGGACGACGUCAAGUCAUCAUGGCCCUUAUGUCCAGGGCGACACACGUGCUACAAUGGCCGGCACAACGGGAAGCGAAGGGGCGACCCUGAGCGGAUCCCACAAAAGCCGGUCUCAGUUCGGAUUGCAGUCUGCAACUCGACUGCAUGAAGUUGGAAUCGCUAGUAAUCGUGGAUCAGCCAAGCCGCGGUGAAUACGUUCCCGGGCCUU